RNAcentral lists this ribosomal RNA (492 nucleotides) under uncultured bacterium. Its description in RNAcentral is "partial 16S ribosomal RNA". It matches the Rfam family "Bacterial small subunit ribosomal RNA", at positions 29 to 507 of the family's 1533-position model. The record is from RNAcentral.
AGUGAACGCUGGCGGUAGGCCUAACACAUGCAAGUCGAACGGCAGCACAGUAAGAGCUUGCUCUUACGGGUGGCGAGUGGCGGACGGGUGAGGAAUACAUCGGAAUCUACUUUUUCGUGGGGGAUAACGUAGGGAAACUUACGCUAAUACCGCAUACGACCUACGGGUGAAAGCAGGGGAUCUUCGGACCUUGCGCGAUUGAAUGAGCCGAUGUCGGAUUAGCUAGUUGGCGGGGUAAAGGCCCACCAAGGCGACGAUCCGUAGCUGGUCUGAGAGGAUGAUCAGCCACACUGGAACUGAGACACGGUCCGGACUCCUACGGGAGGCAGCAGUGGGGAAUAUUGGACAAUGGGCGCAAGCCUGAUCCAGCCAUACCGCGUGGGUGAAGAAGGCCUUCGGGUUGUAAAGCCCUUUUGUUGGGAAAGAAAAGCAGCAGGUUAAUACCUCGCUGUUCUGACGGUACCCAAAGAAUAAGCACCGGCUAACUUCGUG